GAUGAACGCUGGCGGCGUGCCUAAUACAUGCAAGUCGAGCGAACAGGUAAGGAGCUUGCUCCUUUGACGUUAGCGGCGGACGGGUGAGUAACACGUGGGUAACCUACCUAUAAGACUGGGAUAACUUCGGGAAACCGGAGCUAAUACCGGAUAAUAUUUCGAACCGCAUGGUUCGAUAGUGAAAGAUGGUUUUGCUAUCACUUAUAGAUGGACCCGCGCCGUAUUAGCUAGUUGGUAAGGUAACGGCUUACCAAGGCGACGAUACGUAGCCGACCUGAGAGGGUGAUCGGCCACACGGGAACUGGGACACGGUCAAGACUCCUACGGGAGGCAGCAGUAGGGAAUCGUACGCAAUGGGCGAAAGCCUGACGGAGCAACGCCGCGUGAGUGAUGAAGGUCUUCGGAUCGUAAAACUCUGUUAUUAGGGAAGAACAUACGUGUAAGUAACUGUGCACGUCUUGACGGUACCUAAUCAGAAAGCCACGGCUAACUACGUG
RNAcentral lists this ribosomal RNA (497 nucleotides) under uncultured bacterium. Its description in RNAcentral is "partial 16S ribosomal RNA". It matches the Rfam family "Bacterial small subunit ribosomal RNA", at positions 28 to 507 of the family's 1533-position model. The record is from RNAcentral.